Molecule: ribosomal RNA, 134 nt
Filed under: uncultured eukaryote
Lineage: Eukaryota
Description: partial small subunit ribosomal RNA
Rfam family: Eukaryotic small subunit ribosomal RNA
Source: RNAcentral
CCCUGCCAUUUGUACACACCGCCCGUCGCUCCUACCGAUUGAAUGAUCCGGUGAAGUGUUCGGAUUGCGUCGACGAUGGCGGUUCGCCGCCGUCGACGUCGUGAGAAGUUCAUUGAACCUUAUCAUUUAGAGGA